RNAcentral lists this ribosomal RNA (174 nucleotides) under uncultured bacterium. Its description in RNAcentral is "partial 16S ribosomal RNA". It matches the Rfam family "Bacterial small subunit ribosomal RNA", at positions 1327 to 1500 of the family's 1533-position model. The record is from RNAcentral.
UGGAAUUGCUAGUAAUGGCAGGUCAGCAUACUGCCGUGAAUACGUUCCCGGGCCCUUGUACACACCGCCCGUCACACCAUGAGAGUUGGAAAUACCCGAAGCCUGUGAGCUAACUUAAAGAGGCAGCAGUCGAAGGUAGAGCCAAUGCUUGGGGUGAAGUCGUAACAAGGUAAC